Molecule: long non-coding RNA, 253 nt
Filed under: Phaseolus vulgaris (common bean)
Lineage: Eukaryota; Viridiplantae; Streptophyta; Magnoliopsida; Fabales; Fabaceae
Description: long non-coding RNA (PVUL_LNC000673)
Source: RNAcentral
UUAUAUACCUGGUGGCUUUCUCUCUCCUGGCAGUUACAGAUUUGGACACGUGGCUCGCAUCCAACUGUACACGUGCCAUCAUCUGGAGGCUCCUUGACUUGGCGCUGCUUCUACUCUCAUUUUGGCUAAGUUACUUAUGCAUGGUACUGCCCAGUGCAUAGCUAACUUGGGAGUGCGAUCUCUACUGGAACUGGCGAGUUAGGGGCCUUCAUACACCUUCCCUGUGGUCUCGCCGGCCGCCUUCAUAAUCUGC